GACGAACGCUGGCGGCGUGCUUAACACAUGCAAGUCGAACGGAAAGGCCCUGCUUUUGUGGGGUGCUCGAGUGGCGAACGGGUGAGUAACACGUGAGUAACCUGCCCUUGACUUUGGGAUAACUUCAGGAAACUGGGGCUAAUACCGGAUAGGAGCUCCUGCUGCAUGGUGGGGGUUGGAAAGUUUCGGCGGUUGGGGAUGGACUCGCGGCUUAUCAGCUUGUUGGUGGGGUAGUGGCUUACCAAGGCUUUGACGGGUAGCCGGCCUGAGAGUGUGACCGGCCACAUUGGGACUGAGAUACGGCCCAGACUCCUACGGGAGGCAGCAGUGGGGAAUAUUGCACAAUGGGCGGAAGCCUGAUGCAGCAACGCAGCGUGCGGGAUGACGGCCUUCGGGUUGUAAACCGCUUUCGCCUGUGACGAAGCGUGAGUGACGGUAAUGGGUAAAGGAGCACCGGCUAACUACGUG
RNAcentral lists this ribosomal RNA (468 nucleotides) under uncultured bacterium. Its description in RNAcentral is "partial 16S ribosomal RNA". It matches the Rfam family "Bacterial small subunit ribosomal RNA", at positions 28 to 507 of the family's 1533-position model. The record is from RNAcentral.